UUGAAAAAGGCUCUUACGAGAGUCAGGGGCCAACUGUUGCCUGAAGAAGGGUAA
RNAcentral lists this non-coding RNA (54 nucleotides) under unclassified sequences. RNAcentral describes it as "algC RNA". It matches the Rfam family "algC RNA". The record is from RNAcentral.